Molecule: long non-coding RNA, 618 nt
Organism: Uranotaenia lowii
Lineage: Eukaryota; Metazoa; Arthropoda; Insecta; Diptera; Culicidae
Exons: 3
Source: RefSeq, a predicted model, not a curated record
GUUCAACUUCAAGACAAGCAACCAUGAUUUCUAACUUAUGAAAUGCCGGAUGGCGAAUGGGAAUCAACGAGUUUCUUAAAGCUGGAUACCGAUAUCAACGAACUGGAGGUUUUGCCGGGAAAGACUACGUUCUGAGUGGUAUUUGCCGUGGUUUAAAUUACAGCAAUUUCUGAAUUGGUUCCGAACAUUCAAAAUUUUGCUAAACGCGAUCGGAACAACCUCUUGAUUCUCUUUCACGAUAAUAACUUGGAGUGUGCUCCUGCAGCGAGGAUUAUUCUGUAGUGCCGAUAGGAUGUUUGCAAUCAUCCGGGAAGAAGCAACACUGUUCCCGCCCUUCGGUAAAUUCUUUCAGCACAGACGGAUCGAGUUGAACUUGUAACCCGGAUUUCAAUCUUCGGUCGAAUUGAUCCUGCAGGCCUCGUUCCCCUUUCGAAUUUAUUGGCGAUGGUCAGACCAGAACGAUUCCGGUGUGUUGUCCGAUGCGCAUCUGCAGGAGAAAAGAGUUGGUUAGUUCCAAAAACUAUUCUAAGUUGAAACUCACCGGAAUAUUCUUCCUAGCGUAAUUUUCGAGGAAGGAGCAGGUAUUCACAGGUAUCGUAGGCUUUAAAUUCCCGAAAU